AAGGCGCCAUCUUGGAGGUGGCUCCUCCAGCCCCAGUUGAGCCUUCAGAUGAUAGCAGCCCCAGCCGACAUCGUAAAUGCAACCUCACAAGAGACCCCGAGCCAGAACCACCUGGAUUAAAACGACCAUGAUGUUCCUGAAUUCCUGACUACAGAAACUGUACGUGCCAGGAUUUACUGAGCCAACAUACACAAGGCGCCAGAUGUCCACUGGACCCUCAGUCUGAUCAGCUCCUUGCCACACUGAGGUCUCAGCAGCCCCUUCCUCAUGGCGGCAAGGUUUGGACUGUGGUUAUGCCCACUCAGGGUCCGGCCCUCCAGCCAGGUUCCUGGCUGC
Molecule: long non-coding RNA, 336 nt
Filed under: Homo sapiens (human)
Lineage: Eukaryota; Metazoa; Chordata; Mammalia; Primates; Hominidae
Description: HSALNT0226991
Source: RNAcentral